UACGUAGGGUGCGAGCGUUAAUCGGAUUUACUGGGCGUAAAGCGUGCGCAGGCGGCCCGUUAAGACAGGUGUGAAAUCCCUGGGCUCAACCUAGGAAUUGCGCUUGUGACUGGCGGGCUCGAGUACGAUAGAGGGGGGUGGAAUUCCUGGUGUAGCAGUGAAAUGCGUAGAGAUCAGGAGGAACACCGAUGGCGAAGGCAGCCCCCUGGGCCUGUACUGACGCUCAUGCACGAAAGCGUGGGGAGCAAACAGG
Molecule: ribosomal RNA, 253 nt
Filed under: uncultured microorganism
Description: partial 16S ribosomal RNA
Rfam family: Bacterial small subunit ribosomal RNA
Source: RNAcentral